CAAGAUCAGAUGAGCCAGUUAAUACAUGUGGGUGGUGCUAGCUGAUCCAUCAAGUGCAGGGUCUGCAAAAUAUCUCAGAAACCCUGUGAGGUAGAUGUUAUUAGAUCCACUGUGUAUAUGAGGAAAUUGAGGUUUGUAAGUCACAUGACAUGUCUCAUCUAAGCAGUGACAAAAGCUGGAAUCCAGGUACAGAGAGUUGUGACCCAAAACCCAUGAACUUUCUAUUGUAUCAUUAGAAACAUAAGGAUCCCAGUAAAUCAGUUUCAAAUUAGAAACACAUUUGAGUGAUGAAGCUAGAGCUAUUUUACAAGGUUGACUGCUAUUAUUGGAUUGAUGAAUUUUAAGAUGUGGACAUAUGUGAGAGGCUCACCCAACAGACUUCACUGGUUUCUAGACGGAGUUUCACUCUUCUUGCCCAGGCUGGAGUACAAUGGUACAAUCUUGGCUCACUGCAACCUCUGCCUCCCAAGUUCAAGCGAUUCUCCUGCUUCAGCAUCCGGAGUAGCUGUGAUUACAAACGUGCCACUAUACCCGGAGCUUAUGGUCUUUUCUUAACAUUUCUUGAUGACGAGGAUGGGAUUUGAAGUGGCACCCUUGCUUUUUCCCAACACUAUCUGGACCAAUGCAUUUGCACCUGCAAGAACCCCUUGAGCUCACUUAUCUUCCUGGCUGCACCAGGGAGAAAUGAGGUGGCUGCCUUUUCACUGUGUCUUCACAUGACUUUUCAUCUGUGUAAGAAAACCCCUGCAUGUCUUUGUGUAUUCAAAUUUUCUUUUCUUAUAAGGACAGCUGUCCUUAGAUUGGAUUAGGGCCCACUCUAAUCAGCCUCGUUUUAACUUAAUUACACUUUAUACACCCUAUUUCCAAAUAUAGUCACAUUCUGAGGUACUGGGGCUUAGAGAUUUAAUAUGAAUUUUGGGGGAAUACAAUUCAUCCCAUAACAGUGAGGAAAACAUUUUAGGGGACAUAAAGUAGUCAUUUACUAUUAUUAUCAACCAUUACUAAUUUUCCGUCUAAUAACAAGACCUUUCUCUCCUCGGAGGACCGCAUUUCAGGCUUUAUUAAGAGAUCACCUCUAUCUUCCCAAGAGUGGGCACAUAUCAAAUAUCUGGCCUAUCGGAAUACCAAAUCUCUCUCGCUACAAUGAUUUCUUCUAGGUUAACACAUUAUUCAAGCUAAAAUAGUGUGUGUCUUCAUUGUGCCUUGUUAACUAGAACCAUCAGGAAAGACAGUUCAUUUAGAGAGAUAAGUUUAGAUUGUACAUUGGCAAUCAAUAAGCACACACAAAACAUUAUAGAUGUAACAUGACAAAAUUUUACUUUUUGCCCAAGUUACAGGUUCAAAAAAGUGAGAUAUUCUCUAGAGAAUAUUUUUUUAUGUGAUCACUCAGCAAUCUAUGGAGCUUUCCUUCAUCAACAGGAAGCUACCAUGCUUCCCACAACAAGGAAAAUGAAGGCUAGAGGGAUGUGUACUGAAUUCUCCCUGCUUUAAACUGGAAUUAUUAUUUCUCCUCACAGUCCAUUGGCCAGAAAUAGUCAUAUGGCCCCACUGCUACUAGAGGGCUGAGGAUGUUGGGGAGCACAUGGCUUUUGGAUGAGAAAUAAACAUUUUUUCCACAAAGUUUAUGAAUAACAUAAGGUGUAACUGCUGUAUUUCAUGGUUAAAUGAAUAAAGCAAUUUUCAUUAGGACACAAUGAGGUCAACAUGCAAAGAGAAGCAAAAAUAUGUAGAAAGGAAAGACUGAGGCUAAAGACCGUGGACCUUAGUUACUUUCUUUUAGUGUCUUAAUUAGUGUUACCUUCUGAAUAGAGCAGUUCUGUGAGCCAAUAAAAAUAAUUAUUAUUAUCAAUAUUAUUUUAUUGUUAGUUAAGUUUGCAUCCAAAAGCAACUGGUAGAGGUCUACCUCAUUCAAUAUACUGAUAUUAUUAUUAUUAUUAUACAUUAUAAUUAUGUUUUAUGUUUUUCUAUUAAACUUAAUUUGUGACA
This is a long non-coding RNA of Homo sapiens (human), 1986 nucleotides long. RefSeq lists it as uncharacterized. NCBI's taxonomy places the organism in Eukaryota, Metazoa, Chordata, Mammalia, Primates, Hominidae. The transcript has 6 exons. The record is from RefSeq and is a predicted model, not a curated record.